This 313-nucleotide ribosomal RNA is filed under the name uncultured Coxiella sp. RNAcentral's name for it is "bacterial SSU rRNA". It matches the Rfam family "Bacterial small subunit ribosomal RNA", at positions 31 to 331 of the family's 1533-position model. The record is from RNAcentral. Lineage: Bacteria; Pseudomonadati; Pseudomonadota; Gammaproteobacteria; Legionellales; Coxiellaceae.
GAACGCUGGCGGCAUGCCUUACACAUGCAAGUCGAACGGCAGCGGGGGGAGCUUGCUCCCUGACGGCGAGUGGCGGACGGGUGAGUAACACGUAGGAAUCUACCUUAAUUAUAAUAGUUAGUGGGGGAUAACCCGGGGAAACUCGGGCUAAUACCGCAUAAUCUCUUCAAAGCAAAGCGGGGGAUCUUCGGACCUCGUGCUAUGAGAUGAGCCUGCGUCGGAUUAGCUAGUUGGUAGGGUAAUGGCCUACCAAGGCGACGAUCCGUAGCUGGUCUGAGAGGACGAUCAGCCACACUGAGACUGAGACACGGCC